ACUCAAAUGAAUUGACGGGGGCCCGCACAAGCAGCGGAGCGUGUGGUUUAAUUCGACGCAACGCGAAGAACCUUACCCAGGCUUGACAUGCAUGUGGUACUGACCCGAAAGGGAAGGGACCCGCAAGGGAGCAUGCACAGGUGCUGCAUGGCUGUCGUCAGCUCGUGCCGUGAGGUGUUGGGUUAAGUCCCGCAACGAGCGCAACCCUUGCUGCCAGUUACCAUUUCUGGCGGGACCGCCGGGUCUAACCCGGAGGAAGGUGGGGAUGACGUCAAGUCAGCACGGCCCUUACGUCUGGGGCUACACACACGCUACAAUGGCCGGUACAAUGGGCUGCCAAGGGGCGACCCGGAGCGAAUCCCAUCAAAGCCGGUCUCAGUUGGGAUUGGGGGCUGCAACUCGCCCCCAUGAACGAGGAGUUGCUAGUAACCGCAGGUCAGCACACUGCGGUGAAUACGUUCCCGGGCCUUGUACACACCGCCCGU
RNAcentral lists this ribosomal RNA (485 nucleotides) under uncultured bacterium. RNAcentral's name for it is "partial 16S ribosomal RNA". It matches the Rfam family "Bacterial small subunit ribosomal RNA", at positions 899 to 1397 of the family's 1533-position model. The record is from RNAcentral.